Molecule: ribosomal RNA, 253 nt
Filed under: uncultured bacterium
Lineage: Bacteria
Description: partial 16S ribosomal RNA
Rfam family: Bacterial small subunit ribosomal RNA
Source: RNAcentral
UACGUGGGGGGCUAGCGUUGUUCGGAAUUACUGGGCGUAAAGGGCGCGUAGGCGGUCUGCUAAGUUGGAUGUGAAAACUCUGGGCUUAACCCAGAGCCUGCAUUCAAUACUGACAGGCUAGAGUUCUGGAGGGGAUAGCGGAAUUCCUGGUGUAGCGGUGAAAUGCGUAGAUAUCAGGAGGAACACCGGUGGCGAAGGCGGCUAUCUGGACAGAAACUGACGCUGAGGCGCGAAAGCUAGGGGAGCAAACAGG